RNAcentral lists this ribosomal RNA (395 nucleotides) under Microphallus sp. VT-2013. RNAcentral's name for it is "eukaryotic LSU rRNA". The stretch from base 336 to 395 matches the Rfam family "Eukaryotic large subunit ribosomal RNA", at positions 1 to 60 of the family's 3401-position model. The record is from RNAcentral. Lineage: Eukaryota; Metazoa; Platyhelminthes; Trematoda; Plagiorchiida; Microphallidae.
GCUUUGAUCAUCGACAUCUUGAACGCAUAUUGCGGCCAUAGGUUAGCCUGUGGCCACGCCUGUCCGAGGGUCGGCUUAUAAACUAUCACGACGCCCAUAAAGUCGUGGCUUGGGUUUUGCCAGCUGGCGUGAUUUCCUCUCACACCGUGUGUGCACGUGUGAUGAGGUGCCAGAUCUGUGGCUUCUCCCUAAUGUGUCCGGACACCUACGAUUUGGUGGCGGAGUCGUGGCUAAAUGGUUUCUAUUUUUUAACAGCGCGCUCUGUCAUUGGUGGUGGUGAUGUUCGUGGCCUGGCUCGGUUGCACCGGAGUUAUAAUGCGACCGAAUCGAUUUCCUGACCUCGGAUCAGACGUGAUUACCCGCUGAACUUAAGCAUAUCACUAAGCGGAGGAAAA